AGUGAACGCUGGCGGUAGGCCUAACACAUGCAAGUCGAACGGCAGCACAGUAAGAGCUUGCUCUUACGGGUGGCGAGUGGCGGACGGGUGAGGAAUACAUCGGAAUCUACUUUUUCGUGGGGGAUAACGUAGGGAAACUUACGCUAAUACCGCAUACGACCUACGGGUGAAAGCAGGGGAUCUUCGGACCUUGCGCGAUUGAAUGAGCCGAUGUCGGAUUAGCUAGUUGGCGGGGUAAAGGCCCACCAAGGCGACGAUCCGUAGCUGGUCUGAGAGGAUGAUCAGCCAUACUGGAACUGAGACACGGUCCAGACUCCUACGGGAGGCAGCAGUGGGGAAUAUUGGACAAUGGGCGCAAGCCUGAUCCAGCCAUACCGCGUGGGUGAAGAAGGCCUUCGGGUUGUAAAGCCCUUUUGUUGGGAAAGAAAAGCAGCAGGUUAAUACCCCGCUGUCCUGACGGUACCCAAAGAAUAAGCACCGGCUAACUUCGUG
Molecule: ribosomal RNA, 492 nt
Filed under: uncultured bacterium
Lineage: Bacteria
Description: partial 16S ribosomal RNA
Rfam family: Bacterial small subunit ribosomal RNA
Source: RNAcentral